ACUCAACAGAUAUAUUUUUGUAAAGAGUGAAUCUGGAUUGUAAAAGCGCGCCGUCUUCGUCACGGAUUCUUGAUCAGUCCUCUAGCUCUAAUCCUUUUAUUUAGGAGUUU
Molecule: small RNA, 110 nt
Filed under: Dokdonia pacifica
Lineage: Bacteria; Pseudomonadati; Bacteroidota; Flavobacteriia; Flavobacteriales; Flavobacteriaceae
Description: 6S-Flavo RNA
Rfam family: 6S-Flavo RNA
Source: Rfam by way of RNAcentral